UGGGGAAUAUUGCACAAUGGGCGCAAGCCUGAUGCAGCAACGCCGCGUGAACGAUGAAGGUCUUCGGAUCGUAAAGUUCUGUUGCAGGGGAAGAUAAUGACGGUACCCUGUGAGGAAGCCCCGGCUAACUACGUGCCAGCAGCCGCGGUAAUACGUAGGGGGCUAGCGUUAUCCGGACUUACUGGGCGUAAAGGGUGCGUAGGUGGUCUUUCAAGUCGGUGGUUAAAGGCUACGGCUCAACCGUAGUUAGCCUCCGAAACUGGAAGACUUGAGUGCAGGAGAGGAAAGUGGAAUUCCCAGUGUAGCGGUGAAAUGCGUAGAUAUUGGGAGGAACACCAGUAGCGAAGGCGGCUUUCUGGACUGCAACUGACACUGAGGCACGAAAGCGUGGGUAGCAAACAGG
RNAcentral lists this ribosomal RNA (403 nucleotides) under Verrucomicrobiota bacterium. RNAcentral's name for it is "Verrucomicrobia bacterium partial 16S ribosomal RNA". It matches the Rfam family "Bacterial small subunit ribosomal RNA", at positions 355 to 776 of the family's 1533-position model. The record is from RNAcentral. Lineage: Bacteria; Pseudomonadati; Verrucomicrobiota.